AAAUGAAAUUUUCUAAAUUGUAAACAUCUUCACAAACUGCUACCGACCAAAUAAUGACCCACUCUUACAGAAAUUUAAACGAUACCUAUCUAUUUUUUUAAUUGCUCAAACAAAUUAUUUAUCCACAACCUCAUUUUUAUUUGGAAGAAAAUGAAAGAUACAAUAGAAUUUUGAGUAUAUGAGACUAAAAUCAAUGUAAAUAAUUCCCGGAAAGCAAUGAUUAAAGAGCAUGCAAAUAUAGAGACUUUUUUCUUGCAAUAUAAGCCAUAUUGAUAUUUAUUUCCAUGCUUAUUUGUUUAGGAUUCUAACUGUUAUGCGAAAUCAAAGUCCAACUUUUCAUUUUUAUUUGACAUUAUCUUGAUGGACGAUAGCUUGCUUAAAUCGCUUAUUUUCAUUUCCAUGUGUUACUUAAACAUAAACUUCACGUUCAAUACGAUGGUGAGGAUUAACAUCAAGUACAAGCUUAUUUAUACUAGUAAUUCGUUUGUUGUAUAAACGAAGUAUGAAGAAGUACGAAAAAGGCGCGAUUCAGCUCAAAAGUGAGUUUUGGGCUUCCUUUCUUUAUUAACAUUAUGAAAUCGACUUUUACCGAACGGGCAUUGCAAAUGUGAUACGAAUAAAACCGAAUACCUCGUUGGUUCAUGAUACAGUUGAAAUGAUUUUGGAACCCUUAUCAGUCAAGAUGUAAAGGAUGAGUUCGAUAGAUAAAAUAUCUCAAGGUUUUACAACAGGGGAGAAAACCAUUUUCAAAAUUUCCCUCUAAUGACUCCUACCGCUGAUGCACUCUUUUUGAAUGGUUUAUCUUAGUAAAAUUUAAAUUCACUAACAGCUAUGGAACUGUAUCUAUUAACGUAGAUACCGAUUAUUUAGAGAUUAAAAUGUUGUAGAGCUAUUUCCCAAAUAUAACUUUACACAGGAUAGUUAUUCUGAAUUUUAGAUCGUUACAAAGUGCUUUUUUAAUCGUUUUCUGUAUCUAAGUUCCUAAAGGUUCAAUACAUCGAAUAUGAAUUUAUUCAAGCUGUUGAAUGUUACUGUAACCACAAGGAUCUUAGCUCAUUGUAAUAUGAGAGUUAGCGGAGAUGUGCUUAUAUUCAAUAUGUUAUCAGUCAAUGAGGAUGAAUACGGACUAGCAAACCAAAGUUGCUUCCUUUUGAUAAAACGUGUAUUUUUGCUAUAGAAGCACUAAUCAAUUACAGAAGCAGACCCUUAUCCUGCCACUCACUACUCUCUUAACCAAGUCGUCAGAGGUGGUGACUUCGAAUAGCCCCAUUGGUAAUAAUGCGAACACAUAUUAUAUUAAGCUACAACAGAGAAGAGCUACUACUGACUAUAAAAGCGAAAAAGUGAUGUAUAAAUAUCAUAAUAAGGACAAGUAAAAAACAAUCUUCUACUAAGAGAAGAUAAAGCAGCAAAAGAUAUAGAAAUACAGACUCCUUAAAAUGUGUGAUACUUGUGUGGCACGUGUCCUUUUGACCACAAGCCAAUCACUUUUUGAAGCCGUUCUUUCAACUUGACAGUCUCAAGAGGACUAAAUUUAUAAAACACCAUACCCAUGAAGAUACUGAAUACACUGUUCCCUUGUCAAAUUAUCAAUGUCUUCGAAGCUUGCAAGCGGUGGGAGUUCAUAGUCUCUAGGUUCAUCUCCGUUAAGGAAUGGUACUGGAACAGCCGAAUAAUGCAUAUUUGAACGGACCAUAUUUUCAUAUUUUUUUGUUAGCAUCAUCGACUUGCAAGAACGAUCAUCAAUUUUUUGCAUCGUUUGAGCCAUAUUAUUAAAUCUUUCUUCAGUUUUUUGAUCCAAAAGAUCGAUUUUUCUAUCUAAUUGAGAUAUAGAACCUUUGAUGGCAGUUAAUUCGUUCUUAAAAGUAGUUGCUUUACCUUUGAUGGAAGCAAUGUCAUUUUUCAUGACAGUCAUCUCAUUGUACAUAGCGUCAAACCUAGAAUUCAUGUCAUUCUGCGUUGAGUUAUUUUAGAAAAUAUUCGCUCGAAAAUUCCUCCUAGUUUAGUAUUUGCCCAUUCGUCUAUCCAGCGUGGAAACUGUAAUUCUCCCAAUGGUUCCUCCGGAACUUCCCUUUCUAUCGCCAAUCUCUUCCAAUUUCGCAACUUUUGAUCACAUUCAGUUUCAAAUCUAUUUAAUGUUCCUUUGCUUGACGAAAAUUUUUCAAUCGUUUCCUGAUUAUUCUCACCGAAUUCUAGUAAAGCAGAAUUUAGAGAUCUUUCGAAUUUCUUGAUAAACGGUUGCAAGUCUUCUGCUGAAUCAUCUGGUGGAGGUAAGUCGAAACCAUUUUCAAAAUUCUCGUUUGACGUCGAUUUUUAAUCAAUAAUGAGCGUAGUCAUUUUUUAGAAAGAUAUAGUGUGUUGUUCUAGUAAAUGUUAACGCUGUUUAUUAAAAGUUGGUAGAGUGUUUUAAACGUGUUGUUCAAUAUGUAUCCAGGAUCAAGAACACCAGAUAAAAAUACAAUUACAAAGUUACACCAGUUUAU
Non-coding RNA from Schizosaccharomyces pombe (fission yeast), 2483 nucleotides. The record is from the annotation of a GenBank genome assembly. Lineage: Eukaryota; Fungi; Ascomycota; Schizosaccharomycetes; Schizosaccharomycetales; Schizosaccharomycetaceae.